GGUUCAGUGUGUGGUCUGCCCCAUAGACUGUGGGGCAGGAGGGUCCAGUGUUGGGCGCAGAUGUGGGCUGACCCAAGGAUGAUGUGGGGACCCAUAGAGUGCCCCAAUAGUAUGUGGGGCAGGAGGGUCAGUGGUGGGGCUGCCCCAUAAUGUGUGGGGCAGAGGGAACUUGGGGGGGGCUUGACCCAUAGAUAGGCCAGGAGGGUCAGUGUGUGGGCUCCCCGUAAGUGUGGCGCCCCAAUAGAUUUGUGUGGGCUGCCCCAUAAUCUUGUGGGGCAGGAGGUCAGUGGUGUGGAGGCUGCCCCAUAGAUGUGUGGGGCUGCCCCAUAGAUGUGUGGGGUGGGAGGGUCAGUGUGUGGGGCUGCCCCAUAGAUGUGUGGGGCUGACCCAUAGAUGUGGGGCAGGAGGGUCAGUGUGUGGGGCUGCCCCAUAGAUGUGUGGGGCUGCCCCAUAGAUAUGGGCCAGGAGGGUCAGUGUGUGGGGCUGCCCCACAGAUAUGUGGGGCAGAGGGAACUUGGGGGGGGCUGCCCCAUAGAUGUGUGGGGCAGAGGGAACUUGGGGGGCUGCCCCAUAGAUACUGGGAGGAGGCAGGUAAGUGACGCUGUGGGGCGGGAGCUUGUGGGGCUGCCCCAUAGAUAUGUGGGGCAGGGGAUAACUUAUGGGGCAGCCCCAUAGAUGUGUGGGGCAGGGGAUAACUUAUGGGGCUGCCCCAUAGAUUCUAUGGGGUGAAUGUGGGGCUCGGUGUUAACGUUCCUCUCUUCUCCUCCUCAAAUGCUGCCCGGAUUUGCAUAAUUAAUCACCUCUUUAUGUUAAUUACUCUUUAUGUUAAUUAUCCUUUAUGUUAAUCCCCCUUAAUGCUAAUUACCUUUUAUGCUAAUUGACUUUAUGCUAAUUACCCUUUUAUGCUAAUUACCCCUUUAUGCUAAUCCCCCUUUAUUCCCCUUUAUGUUACUGUACCUUUAUGUUAAUGACCCUUUAUGCUAAUUACCCCCCUUUAUGCUAAUUACCCUCCCCCUUAUGCUAAUUACCCCUCACUUAUGCUAAUUACCCCCCCUUUAUGCUAAUUACCCUCCCUUUUAUGCUAACUAUCCUCCCAUUUAUGCUAAUUACCCUCCCCUUUAUGCUAAUUGUCCUCUUUCUUAUGCUAAUUACCCCCCUUUAUGCUAAUUACCCCCUUUAUGCUAAUUACCCUCCCUUUUAUGCUAAUUACCCUCCCUUUUAUGCUAAUUACCCUCCCCUUUAUGCUAAUUAUUCUCUCCCUUAUGCUAAUUAACCCUCCCCUAAUUCCUUUAUUCCCUUUAUGCUAAUUACCCUCUAUGCUAAUGACCCUCUAUGCUAAUGACCCUCUAUGCUAAUUACCCUCUAUGCUAAUUACCUUUAUGCUAAUGACCCCUUAUGCUAUCCCCCCCUACGUCAACCCCCCUUUCCAUUAACCCCCCUUUAUGCUAAUUACCUUUAUGCUAAUCACCCCAUAUGCUAAUAACCCCUCACACUAAUUAACCGGGGGUUCUCCCUCUAUGCUAAUUAAUGCUAAUUAACGCUAAUUAACGCUAAUUACCCCCCUAUAGAAGAAGAUAAUGAUCAUCAUCUGUUGCGUGGUGCUGGGGGUUGUCCUGGCCUCCUCCAUUGGGGGAACGUUGGGCUUAUAAAUGGGGGGGGGGCGGGGGGGGACACU
This 1675-nucleotide long non-coding RNA is filed under the name Coturnix japonica (Japanese quail). Its description in RNAcentral is "lncRNA (ENSCJPG00005002797.1)". Lineage: Eukaryota; Metazoa; Chordata; Aves; Galliformes; Phasianidae. The record is from RNAcentral.